UGGGGAAUUUUGGACAAUGGGCGAAAGCCUGAUCCAGCAAUGCCGCGUGUGUGAGGAAGGCCUUCGGGUUGUAAAGCACUUUUGUCCGGAAAGAAAUCCUUGGCUCUAAUACAGUCGGGGGAUGACGGUACCGGAAGAAUAAGCACCGGCUAACUACGUGCCAGCAGCCGCGGUAAUACGUAGGGUGCAAGCGUUAAUCGGAAUUACUGGGCGUAAAGCGUGCGCAGGCGGUUUGCUAAGACCGAUGUGAAAUCCCCGGGCUCAACCUGGGAACUGCAUUGGUGACUGGCAGGCUAGAGUAUGGCAGAGGGGGGUAGAAUUCCACGUGUAGCAGUGAAAUGCGUAGAGAUGUGGAGGAAUACCGAUGGCGAAGGCAGCCCCCUGGGCCAAUACUGACGCUCAUGCACGAAAGCGUGGGGAGCAAAACAGGAUUAGAUACCCUGGUAGUCCACGCCCUAAACGAUGUCAACUAGUUGUUGGGGAUUCAUUUCCUUAGUAACGUAGCUAACGCGUGAAGUUGACCGCCUGGGGAGUACGGUCGCAAGAUUAAAACUCAAAGGAAUUGACGGGGUCAUAGCUGUUUCCU
Molecule: ribosomal RNA, 586 nt
Filed under: uncultured bacterium
Lineage: Bacteria
Description: partial 16S ribosomal RNA
Rfam family: Bacterial small subunit ribosomal RNA
Source: RNAcentral